This 499-nucleotide ribosomal RNA is filed under the name uncultured bacterium. RNAcentral's name for it is "bacterial SSU rRNA". It matches the Rfam family "Bacterial small subunit ribosomal RNA", at positions 470 to 966 of the family's 1533-position model. The record is from RNAcentral.
UGACGGUACCUGCAGAAAAAGCGCCGGCUAACUACGUGCCAGCAGCCGCGGUAAUGCGUAGGGCGCAAGCGUUAUCCGGAAUUAUUGGGCGUAAAGAGCUCGUAGGCGGUUUGUCGCGUCUGCUGUGAAAUCCCGAGGCUCAACCUCGGGCCUGCAGUGGGUACGGGCAGACUAGAGUGCGGUAGGGGAGAUUGGAAUUCCUGGUGUAGCGGUGGAAUGCGCAGAUAUCAGGAGGAACACCGAUGGCGAAGGCAGAUCUCUGGGCCGUAACUGACGCUGAGGAGCGAAAGGGUGGGGAGCAAACAGGCUUAGAUACCCUGGUAGUCCACCCCGUAAACGUUGGGAACUAGUUGUGGGGACCAUUCCACGGUUUCCGUGACGCAGCUAACGCAUUAAGUUCCCCGCCUGGGGAGUACGGCCGCAAGGCUAAAACUCAAAGGAAUUGACGGGGACCCGCACAAGCGGCGGAGCAUGCGGAUUAAUUCGAUGCAACGCGAAG